GAUCCUGGCUCGGGAUGAACGCUGGCGGCGUGCUUAACACAUGCAAGUCGAGCGAAGCAAUCUAAGUGAAGUUUUCGGAUGGAUCUUAGAUUGACUGAGCGGCGGACGGGUGAGUAACGCGUGGAUAACCUGCCUCACACAGGGGGAUAACAGUUAGAAAUGACUGCUAAUACCGCAUAAGCGCACAGUACCGCAUGGUACAGUGUGAAAAACUCCGGUGGUAUGGGAUGGACCCGCG
Molecule: ribosomal RNA, 238 nt
Filed under: uncultured bacterium
Lineage: Bacteria
Description: partial 16S ribosomal RNA
Rfam family: Bacterial small subunit ribosomal RNA
Source: RNAcentral